GCUGGGCUCGGUGGCUCACGCCUGUAAUCCCAGCGGCUUGGGAGGCUGAGACAGGAGGAUUGCGAGUUUAAAGUCAAACCCAGCAACUUAGUGAGACACUAAGCAACUCAGUGAGACCCUGUUUCUA
Molecule: small RNA, 127 nt
Filed under: Marmota monax (woodchuck)
Lineage: Eukaryota; Metazoa; Chordata; Mammalia; Rodentia; Sciuridae
Source: RNAcentral